This is a long non-coding RNA of Homo sapiens (human), 1092 nucleotides long. Ensembl annotates it as long intergenic non-protein coding RNA 2028. Lineage: Eukaryota; Metazoa; Chordata; Mammalia; Primates; Hominidae. The record is from Ensembl.
GGGGAAACCCGAGCUCCCAACAAAACGGUUCCAUCUUUGGCUAGGCCUUUGGUAUUUCAAGGCGCUGCCGGUGGGGAGAGAUGCCGCGUGCCUGAGAGGCUCUGGGAGGCACCAAAGAAGGCCCAGAGAGGUUUAACAACUUCCUCAGAAUCACACAGCUUCCAAAUGGUUGGGUUGGGUUUACAUUUAGGCGGUCUUGCUCCAGAGCCAGUGCUCCUAACCUUUGCAAGCCACGAACCUCAAGAAAGUGGAGAAGGAAACGCUGGGAAAUCUGGAAGUCAGACAUGAGAGCUAAUGCUGGCAGCUGUUGGGAUGUCCUCUUCCAGGAAUGGUGAUGAGUUUCCCUGGAUCCAGCCCUGGCUUGGCUGAGGUCCUUGGAACAGGAGAAAGGGUUGGAAAACAAAGAUCACUUUUCUCUGGCCAAAUGGAAUCACCCAACAAAGUACCUUCCUGAUGGGCCAGCUAUUUCAGAUGAUGAAGGUUUAAGAAGCAGCAUCAUCAGCGAACUGUGUUUUGAAGAUUUGAGGGAAGGGCUGACCUCAGGAUUUUAUACUAGGAAGGCCCUAUCUCAAGUGGCUCUGGUCCAUGCAAACAGAUGGAAACGGGUGUGGGGAAGCACAGGCCUCCUACUCAUGUUAAGAGAGCUGCUCAGAGGCAGGAAUCCAGAACCAGGAAUGUCCCCAGUGGCUGCCCAAGUUGCUGACCUCCAUAACAGCAGACAAAAUUGGAAGCAAGAGUGAUUUUGGAGGAGUCACACUUAGAUGUUUCCCUUACCUAUUUCUGUUCUGGAAAUUUAAAAAUCUUACUUCUCGUGACAGUCCUACAUGAAAAAUUAAAAAUCACAAGGAUUCAUGGAUGGAAAACUGAGACUCAGAGAAUGAUCACAUUCACAUCGUAAUAAAUCAGCAAUAGAGUGAGUGAUUGUUCCUUGGUAAGAAAUCAACUCUAAACUCAGUUGGAAACCUUUGCCAAUAUUACUUAACACAUGACAAUCUGGUGUGACUCAUUUUUCUUGACAUUAUGCAAAUAAAGGAAACAAGACUGAGUGGCCUUCUGUCCGGAGAGCAGGAAAUGAAGGCUGUCUGGGGCCAC